Molecule: non-coding RNA, 83 nt
Filed under: human gut metagenome
Description: Cyclic di-GMP-I riboswitch
Rfam family: c-di-GMP-I riboswitch aptamer
About the family: GEMM was predicted in a large-scale screen for bacterial structured RNA regulatory elements. Genes associated with GEMM are involved in a diverse array of functions, including chemotaxis regulation, signal transduction, secretion and chitin.
Source: RNAcentral
GAGACCGGCAAACCUCGCGAAAGCGUGGGGCGCAAAGCUAAAGGGGCUUCCCCGCCGCGGGGCGGAAUGCCAGCCAGUUGCCG